AUUGAACGCUGGCGGCAUGCCUUACACAUGCAAGUCGAACGGUAACAGGUCUUCGGAUGCUGACGAGUGGCGAACGGGUGAGUAAUGCAUCGGAACGUGCCCAGUAGUGGGGGAUAGCCCGGCGAAAGCCGGAUUAAUACCGCAUACGACCUGAGGGUGAAAGGGGGGGAUCGCAAGACCUCUCGCUAUUGGAGCGGCCGAUGUCAGGUUAGCUAGUUGGUGGGGUAAAGGCCUACCAAGGCAACGAUCUGUAGUUGGUCUGAGAGGACGACCAGCCAAAAUGGGAAUGAGACACGGCCCAGACUCCGACGGGAGGCAGCAGUGGGGAAUUUUGGACAAUGGGCGCAAGCCUGAUCCAGCAAUGCCGCGGGCAGGAAGAAGGCCUUCGGGUUGUAAACUGCUUUUGUCAGGGAAGAAAUCUUCUGGGUUAAUACCUCGGGAGGAUGACGGUACCUGAAGAAUAAGCACCGGCUAACUACGUGCCAGCAGCCGCCGUAA
This 498-nucleotide ribosomal RNA is filed under the name uncultured bacterium. Its description in RNAcentral is "partial 16S ribosomal RNA". It matches the Rfam family "Bacterial small subunit ribosomal RNA", at positions 29 to 523 of the family's 1533-position model. The record is from RNAcentral.